RNAcentral lists this non-coding RNA (111 nucleotides) under Bacillus sp. (in: firmicutes). Its description in RNAcentral is "Bacillus sp. SAM-I sequence". It matches the Rfam family "SAM riboswitch aptamer (S box leader)". Rfam says of the family: The SAM riboswitch is found upstream of a number of genes which code for proteins involved in methionine or cysteine biosynthesis in Gram-positive bacteria. The SAM riboswitch acts at the level of transcription termination control. The predicted structure consists of a complex stem-loop region followed by a single stem loop terminator region. Lineage: Bacteria; Bacillati; Bacillota; Bacilli; Caryophanales; Bacillaceae. The record is from RNAcentral.
CUUUUAUCCAGAGAUGGUGGAGGGACAGGCCCGAAGAAACCCAGCAACCAACACGUCAUGUGGAAAGGUGCUAACCUGCAGAAUCUUUUUAAUGGUUCUGGGAGAUAAGAG